Molecule: non-coding RNA, 805 nt
Organism: Dermatophagoides farinae (American house dust mite)
Lineage: Eukaryota; Metazoa; Arthropoda; Arachnida; Sarcoptiformes; Pyroglyphidae
Source: RefSeq, a predicted model, not a curated record
UUCGGAGAGAAAUAGAGAGAGAGAGAGAUAAACAGAAAAAAAACGAUGAUCUUUAUUAUUUCGAAUGAAAAUCAUCGAUGCUAAUCAUAUUAGCCGGACAGCAAUGAACAGUUUUGGUGUAUAUAGUAUUAUUCUAUAAACAAACACUCUGAACAAAUAUCAAAUUAUCUUACCACCACGCUCUUGACUUUUAUUUUGAUAUUGAAAAUUGAUCGAAUGUUUUUUUUCUGUGUUUUUCUCUUAACUUAAGAAAUGACCAUCGUCAUCAUCAUCAUCAAAAAGAAUCAUCAUCAAUGAAUGAAAUGUACAACAACGAUGUUUUAAUUGAAUCUAAAUUGUAAUUACACAGCAAAACAACAACAACAACGACGACGACGAAAAAAAAUGACAAUGAUCGAAAAAAUGUUGUUUAAAUCACAGAAUUCUCAUUUGGUUUUUCUUGUUUAUCAUUCCAUUGAUUCACCAGAGAAAAAGAUCGAAAAAAUUUGAAACAUAACAACAACAACAACAACAUCCUAUCUAUAUCUCAUUUGGAAUUCUUUCCAUCUUCAUCAUUCGUUUCUCAUGAUUCUAUUGCAUAAUAAAUGUGGUCUGUGUAUGUUUGUUGUUGUGUACAUUUAAUGUAAUCAUAGGUCAAGUUUUCAUUUUGGUUUCUUGUUCACUUGUUUUUCUGGUGCUCUCUGUGUAUGUGUGUGUGUGACCCAUAUAUUUUUGAGAUGGGAAUGUGAUGCUUCAAGAAUCGAAUGUCCACAAACACACACACACACACACACACACACAAACAGAAUCGAUGGUAAAAUUCAUU